Molecule: ribosomal RNA, 253 nt
Filed under: uncultured bacterium
Lineage: Bacteria
Description: partial 16S ribosomal RNA
Rfam family: Bacterial small subunit ribosomal RNA
Source: RNAcentral
UACAGAGGUCCCAAGCGUUGUUCGGAUUCACUGGGCGUAAAGGGUGCGCAGGCGGCCAAGUGUGUGAGGCGUGAAAGCCCGGGGCUUAACCCCGGAAUUGCACCUCAAACUACAUGGCUAGAGCAUUGGAGAGGGUAGCAGAAUUCACGGUGUAGCAGUGAAAUGCGUAGAUAUCGUGAGGAAUACCAGAGGCGAAGGCGGCUACCUGGACAAUUGCUGACGCUCAGGCACGAAAGCGUGGGGAGCAAAAGGG